RNAcentral lists this ribosomal RNA (360 nucleotides) under Triticum aestivum (bread wheat). Its description in RNAcentral is "partial small subunit ribosomal RNA". The record is from RNAcentral. Lineage: Eukaryota; Viridiplantae; Streptophyta; Magnoliopsida; Poales; Poaceae.
AUGCAGCAGCCACGUGAUGCAGCCGGCACCGGCGGCGGCGGCGGGGGCUUCUCCUGGGUGUUCGUCCCGGUGAUGUUCGUUUUGCUCACCUUCAACUCGGUCAUGGCGGUGUACCACUCCCAGGGCGACGCGGCGAUGGUGGCCUUCGUCGCUACCUCCUACGCGGACCUGGUUCUGCUCUUCUUCUGUCUCUGGCUCUACAAGAGGGCCACCCUCGGCUCCACCCGAAGGAACCGGCUCAAGGCGUCCGUGUGGAUGCUGACCACGAUGCUCACCUUCGCCUUCGCCUACAUGGUCAUGGGCGCGGCCAGGCUCACCCUCGCAGGGCAGGGAUCGGGGCACGAGGGACAUUCUUCUUAG